This 555-nucleotide ribosomal RNA is filed under the name Lasiodiplodia theobromae. RNAcentral describes it as "eukaryotic LSU rRNA". The stretch from base 188 to 341 matches the Rfam family "5.8S ribosomal RNA". The record is from RNAcentral. Lineage: Eukaryota; Fungi; Ascomycota; Dothideomycetes; Botryosphaeriales; Botryosphaeriaceae.
AAGUCGNUAANCAAGGCUUCCGUAGGNUGAACCUGCGGAAGGAUCAUUACCGAGUUUUCGGGCUUCGGCUCGACUCUCCCACCCUUUGUGAACGUACCUCUGNUUGCUUUGGCGGCUCCGGCCGCCAAAGGACCUCCAAACUCCAGUCAGUAAACGCAGACGUCUGAUAAACAAGUUAAUAAACUAAAACUUUCAACAACGGAUCUCUUGGUUCUGGCAUCGAUGAAGAACGCAGCGAAAUGCGAUAAGUAAUGUGAAUUGCAGAAUUCAGUGAAUCAUCGAAUCUUUGAACGCACAUUGCGCCCCUUGGUAUUCCGGGGGGCAUGCCUGUUCGAGCGUCAUUACAACCCUCAAGCUCUGCUUGGAAUUGGGCACCGUCCUCACUGCGGACGCGCCUCAAAGACCUCGGCGGUGGCUGUUCAGCCCUCAAGCGUAGUAGAAUACACCUCGCUUUGGAGUGGUUGGCGUCGCCCGCCGGACGAACCUUCUGAACUUUUCUCAAGGUUGACCUCGGAUCAGGUAGGGAUACCCNNGCUGAACUUAAGCAUAUCAAUA